UCCCGCCCCUUAGCUCGUCGCUUUUCUCAUAUCUGCAGUACUUCUGUCAGCUGAACGUUUGUGCUGAAUAACUCUUGAACAGGGGUCAAAAACACGAAGAUGUCUACUCGGAUUAUGCAAGUGGCUCGAUGUCCAACAGACGAACUGUCACUGAGCAACUGUGCCGUCAUCAAUGAGAAGGAGCCACAGCUUGAACUACAUGCGACGGUGCGCAAUUUAGCCCACAAGUAUGUGUUCACCUUGAAGACUCAUCCCAGUGUCAACGCUGGGACCAUUGCCUUCAGCCUGCCACAGAGAAAAUGGGCCGGCCUAUCGAUUGGACAAGAGGUUGAAGUAACAAAUUACACGUUUGACAAGUCCAGACAGUGUAUAAGCAACAUGACAGUGGAAAUCGACUUCCUGCAGAAGAAGAGUGUGGACAGCAACCCUUACGACUCGGACAACAUGGCCAAUGAGUUUAUCCAGCGCUUCAACAACCAGGCCUUCAGCAUCGGCCAGCAGCUGGUGUUUAGUUUCUGUGAUAAGCUGUUCGGCUUGCUGAUAAAGGAUAUUGAGGCCAUGGACCCCAGCAUCCUAAAGGGAGAACGAGCCUCUGGCAAGAAACCAAAGACUGAGAUCGGUUUGUUGCUGGCAAACAGUCAGGUGAUUUUUGAGAAGUCAGAGAGCUCAUCCAUGAACCUGGUUGGGAAAGCCAAGACCCGAGGGUCUCGCCAGUCCAUCAUCAGCCCAGACUGGAACUUUGAGAGGAUGGGUAUUGGCGGUCUGGACAAGGAGUUUUCUGACAUCUUCCGUAGAGCCUUUGCAUCCCGAGUUUUCCCUCCAGACAUUGUAGAACAGAUGGGCUGCAAGCAUGUGAAGGGAAUCCUGUUGUAUGGACCCCCAGGCUGCGGUAAAACCCUGAUGGCACGACAGAUUGGCAAGAUGCUUAAUGCCCGGGAGCCAAAGAUCGUCAAUGGCCCAGAGAUUCUCAACAAGUACGUCGGAGAGUCUGAGGCCAACAUCAGGAAGCUGUUUGCAGAUGCAGAGGAAGAACAGAAGAGGCACGGUGCUAACAGCAGCCUGCACAUCAUCAUAUUUGAUGAGAUCGACGCAAUCUGUAAACAGCGUGGCAGCAUGGCAGGCAGCACAGGAGUCCACGACACCGUAGUCAACCAGCUUCUGUCCAAGAUAGAUGGAGUGGAGCAGCUCAACAACAUCCUGGUCAUAGGUAUGACCAACAGGCCUGACUUGAUAGAUGAGGCCUUGUUGAGGCCAGGAAGACUGGAGGUGAAGAUGGAGAUCGGGUUACCAGAUGAAAGGGGACGAAUUCAGAUUCUUCACAUUCACACAGCAAAGAUGCGUCAGCACGAACUGCUGGCCGGUGACGUAGACAUUGAGGAGCUGGCCGUGGAGACUAAGAACUACAGCGGUGCAGAGCUGGAGGGCCUGGUCAGGGCUGCACAGUCGACUGCCAUGAACAGACAUAUCAAGGCCACUAACACAGUGGAGGUAAACAUUGAGACGGCAGAGAAGCUGCUGGUCAGCAGACUUGACUUCAUGAGCUCACUGAAUAACGACAUCAAACCUGCGUUUGGUACCAAUCAAGAGGACUACGCCAGCUACAUCAUGAACGGGAUAAUCCGAUGGGGUGACCCAGUGUCAGCGGUCCUAGAGGAUGGGGGGCUGCUGGUGCAGCAGACGAAGAACAGCGACCGCACACCGCUGGUCUCUGUGCUACUUGAGGGUCCACCUAACAGUGGGAAAACUGCACUAGCUGCUAAGAUCUCUGAAGAGUCCCAGUUCCCCUUUAUCAAGAUCUGCUCCCCCGACAAGAUGAUCGGACACUCGGAGAUCGCCAAAUGCCAAGCCAUCAAAAAGAUAUUUGAAGACGCCUACAAGUCCCAGCUGAGCUGCGUGGUUGUAGAUGAAAUUGAACGUCUGUUAGACUACGUCCCAAUUGGCCCUCGUUUCUCCAACCUGGUGUUACAAGCUUUACUGGUGCUGCUGAAGAAACCUCCUCCGAAGGGUCGUAAGCUACUGAUCAUCGGCACCACAAGUCGUAAAGACGUCCUCCAGGAAAUGGAGAUGUUGGAUGCUUUCAGCACUACCAUCCACAUUCCCAACAUAUCCAGGGGAGAGCAGCUGGUCGAGGCCCUGGAGCUGCUGGGCAGUUUUCAGGAGGUGGAGCGGGCAAGCAUAGCUAAAGCUGUGAAAGGCCUAAAUAUGUGGAUUGGCAUAAAAAAGUUGCUCAUGCUGAUUGAAAUGUCCGUGCAGAUGGAUCCUGGCUACAGAGUUAGCAAGUUCCUCAGUCUACUGAAGGAUGAAGGAGCACUGGGUUCUGAUAAGUUUAUGUCAAUCUAGACUCAGUGGAGCCACAUAGUGAAAAAGAGGCGUCCUUCAACGAGUCCCAUGUGGGCAGCACAAUCAUGUAAAAAAAACAUUGCUGAGGAACGGAAGCCUGAAAGAGGCUGGCAGGAGGAAGCAAGCAAGAGAUAGUUUCCAUCUCUCUCUCUCUCUGCAUCCUUCCUUCCCAUCCCUGUGUGCUUCUCUCUGCACUGCAGCUUUCUGCAGCCACAACCAGCCAGGCAACCUCCUCCUCUUCAGCACUAUGUGAACAUAUAAAAUAAGAGAAAUAAGCGGUGUUUGUUGUAUCUGUGUAUAUUGCAUUUCCUGAAGACCAGUGCUGUAAUCUCUAUGUGAUGCUGCGGGCACUUCAUUGGGAUUUUAUAUAAGAGUCCAGGCAAAACAUAGAUUACCAUGGCAAAUAGAUAUGCAUGCACAAACACUAUCAUCAUAACACUGUUUGUUUAUAUAGGCCGUAUCUGUAUGCACAGAUGUGUAAUCUGAUCAUUCCACGACAUGGUGGCUCCAUGACUUAAAGAUCUCACUUUGUUCCUUAUCAUGUUGUGUACUUGCUUGUGCCUGACCGUUUUAUUUUAUGAAUAAAUUAAUGAUAUUCCUAACAAGAAA
Micropterus salmoides (largemouth bass) is the source of this 2949-nucleotide RNA transcript. It is a transcript of the gene named vesicle-fusing ATPase-like, with no coding region annotated. The record is from RefSeq and is a predicted model, not a curated record. Lineage: Eukaryota; Metazoa; Chordata; Actinopteri; Centrarchiformes; Centrarchidae. The transcript has 23 exons.